Long non-coding RNA from Mustela lutreola (European mink), 799 nucleotides. RefSeq lists it as uncharacterized. The transcript has 5 exons. Lineage: Eukaryota; Metazoa; Chordata; Mammalia; Carnivora; Mustelidae. The record is from RefSeq and is a predicted model, not a curated record.
GGUAGAGGCAGAGCUGCGCGGCUGAGGUGCGCAGUGCCCAGGGAGAGCCUGGGAGCCGCGCGGUUAGCUGCUGGCGAGCCUUGUCUGGGUGGACUGCGCCCCGGUGGUCGUCCGGCACACCUUGGGGCCUCGGGUGGGGCCCACAUGCCAGAUUGCUGUGUAAAGAAAUCCUGAAUUUCCUACUAGAGGAUGAAAUACUUGUGGAGCCAGAGACAAGCCAUCCUAGCUCUGAUCUCCUUAGACCACAAGCCUGCCAGCCCUCAGACAUAGGGAGAGAGAUCGCAAGUAGGCAGAGCAGCAGGCAGAGAGAGAGCGGGAAGCAGGCUCCCCGUCAAGCAGAGAACCUGAUGUGGGUCUUGAUCCCAGGACCCUGAGAUCAUGACCUGGGCUGAAGGCAGAGGCUUAACCCACUAAGCCACCCAGGAACCCCAGGUAUGAAGUCAUGGUGCUUAGAGAUACUUCACCUAUCCUGUGAAUAAUAAAUGACAAAACAUACAUAUAAAAACAUGGCAGUCUGACAGAUGGAAAAAGCCCUCAGGAUGCAGUGGACCUUUGAAAGUCUGGGACAGAACAAUAUGUUCUAGAUUCUGAAUGGAAAACUCAGCAUGGAAACUAUGAAGGGCAUCUCUUGGAAGGGAAAACCUGAAUCUGCAGCUCUAACUCACCCACCAAGUGCUCCCUCUGAAAUGUCUCCCUGUGAGCUUAGAGACCUCUUUCAUUGCAGUAGCACAUUUUAUACAUUUAAGCAUUGUCUUCAGUAACUGGAUUUAUUUCUAUUAUUAAAGAAUGACAUUGCUUU